CUUGUACAGGUGCUGCAUGGCUGUCGUCAGCUCGUGUCGUGAGAUGUUCGGUUAAGUCCGCUAACGAGCGCAACCCUCGCUGUGUGUUACAAGUGUCACACGGAACUGCCGGUCAUAAACCGGAGGAAGGUGGGGAUGACGUCAAGUCGGCAUGGCCUUUAUAUCCUGGGCUACACACACGCUACAAUGGGAAGGGACAAUAGGUUGCGAAGCCGCGAGGCGGAGCCAAUCCAGCAAAACUUCCCUCAGUUCAGAUUGCAGGCUGCAACCCGCCUGCAUGAAGUUGGAGUUGCUAGUAAACGCAGGUCAGCCAUACUGCGUUGAGUACGUUCCCGGGGCUU
RNAcentral lists this ribosomal RNA (341 nucleotides) under uncultured Anaerolineaceae bacterium. RNAcentral's name for it is "bacterial SSU rRNA". It matches the Rfam family "Bacterial small subunit ribosomal RNA", at positions 1029 to 1382 of the family's 1533-position model. Lineage: Bacteria; Bacillati; Chloroflexota; Anaerolineae; Anaerolineales; Anaerolineaceae. The record is from RNAcentral.